Scleropages formosus (Asian bonytongue) is the source of this 486-nucleotide long non-coding RNA. RefSeq lists it as uncharacterized. The record is from RefSeq and is a predicted model, not a curated record. NCBI's taxonomy places the organism in Eukaryota, Metazoa, Chordata, Actinopteri, Osteoglossiformes, Osteoglossidae. The transcript is spliced from 2 exons.
GCGCAGGCGCGUGCACGAGGUUGUCCCUCAGCCCGCUCUGCGCGAGCUCACUGGUGGGAAGCAGAGACGGAGACUGAGAUCGCAGGUUCGAUGGUUUGUCGACACGUUUUGGACCCACUGACUCACUGUGUGUAACCACCAAGGAGGAAUAAGAAAAAAUUUCACUGACGAGAUUCAGACCCAAGAAUUUUAAAGGAGGAAUAAGAGGAAAUUUCACUGACGAGACUGAGGCCCAAGACCACAAUGCCUUGGCUUUCUCUGCAGGAUUCAUGAUGCCACGCGCACAGAAGAUCCCCUGUUGCUGUUCCAGGGGCUGCGAAGCAACCCCACAUUGCUGAACCUCCUCAAUGUUGUUUCGCUGCAGCGAAGGCCUCACUUUGUUUUUUGUUCUGUUCUUUACCAACAAGCUCUAAUUAGCUCUCAUUUAUCAUUUGUCCACAAGACAUUCCCUCAAGGAUUUUGGCACAUUUAAAAAAAAAAAAAAAA